UACGUAGGCAGCAAGCGUUGUUCGGAGUUACUGGGCGUAAAGGGUGUGUAGGCGGUUGGUUAAGUUUGGUGUGAAAUCUCCCGGCUUAACUGGGAGGGUGCGCCGAAUACUGAGUGACUAGAGUGCGGGAGAGGAAAGUGGAAUUCCUGGUGUAGCGGUGAAAUGCGUAGAUAUCAGGAGGAACACCGGUGGUGUAGACGGCUUUCUGGACCGUAACUGACGCUGAGACACGAAAGCGUGGGUAGCAAACAGG
RNAcentral lists this ribosomal RNA (253 nucleotides) under uncultured bacterium. RNAcentral describes it as "partial 16S ribosomal RNA". It matches the Rfam family "Bacterial small subunit ribosomal RNA", at positions 524 to 776 of the family's 1533-position model. The record is from RNAcentral.